GACGAACGCUGGCGGCGUGCUUAACACAUGCAAGUCGAACGGAAAGGCCCUGCUUUUGUGGGGUGCUCGAGUGGCGAACGGGUGAGUAACACGUGAGUAACCUGCCCUUGACUUUGGGAUAACUUCAGGAAACUGGGGCUAAUACCGGAUAGGAGCUCCUGCUGCAUGGUGGGGGUUGGAAAGUUUCGGCGGUUGGGGAUGGACUCGCGGCUUAUCAGCUUGUUGGUGGGGUAGUGGCUUACCAAGGCUUUGACGGGUAGCCGGCCUGAGAGGGUGACCGGGCACAUUGGGGACGGGAGUCGGGCCAGACCCCCACGGGAGGGAGGAGUGGGGAAAUAUGGAACAAGGGCGGAAGGCCGAAGGAAGCAAGCCGGCUGCGGGAAUGAGGCCUUUGGGGUGGAAACCGCUUUCGCCUGUGACGAAGCGUGAGUGACGGUAAUGGGUAAAGAAGCACCGGCUAACUACGU
Molecule: ribosomal RNA, 467 nt
Filed under: uncultured bacterium
Lineage: Bacteria
Description: partial 16S ribosomal RNA
Rfam family: Bacterial small subunit ribosomal RNA
Source: RNAcentral